GGGUAGCAAUACCGCUGACGAGUGGCGCACGGGUGCGUAACGCGUAUGCAACCUACCUUUAACAGGAAGAUAGCCCCGAGAAAUUGGGAUUAAUAUUCCAUAAGAUCUCAGAAUCGCAUGAUUUAGAGAUUAAAGUUCCGACGGUUAAAGAUGGGCAUGCGUGACAUUAGCUAGUUGGUAAGGUAACGGCUUACCAAGGCAACGAUGUCUAGGGGUCCUGAGAGGGUUAUCCCCCACACUGGUACUGAGACACGGACCAGACUCCUACGGGAGGCAGCAGUGAGGAAUAUUGGGCAAUGGACGCAAGUCUGACCCAGCCAUGCCGCGUGCAGGAAUGACGGCCCUAUGGGUUGUAAACUGCUUUUGUGUGGGAAGAAACCCAUCUACGUGUAGGUGGCUGACGGUACCAUAUGAAUAAGGAUCGGCUAACUCCGUGCCAGCAGCCGCGGUAAUACGGAGGAUCCGAGCGUUAUCCGGAUUUAUUGGGUUUAAAGGGUGCGCAGGCGGGCAUAUAAGUCAGUGGUGAAAUCUCUCGGCUCAACUGAGAAACUGCCAUUGAUACUGUAUGUCUAGAGUACAGAUGAGGUAGGCGGAAUGUGUCAUGUAGCGGUGAAAUGCUUAGAUAUGACACAGAACACCGAUUGCGAAGGCAGCUUACCAAACUGUUACUGACGCUCAUGCACGAAAGCGUGGGGAGCGAACAGGAUUAGAUACCCUGGUAGUCCACGCCGUAAACGAUGAUUACUCGAUGUUGGCGAUAUACAGUCAGCGUCUUAGCGAAAGUGUUAAGUAAUCCACCUGGGGAGUACGAUCGCAAGGUUGAAACUCAAAGGAAUUGACGGGGGCCCGCACAAGCGGAGGAGCAUGUGGUUUAAUUCGACGAUACGCGAGGAACCUUACCUAGACUUAAA
RNAcentral lists this ribosomal RNA (911 nucleotides) under uncultured bacterium. RNAcentral's name for it is "bacterial SSU rRNA". It matches the Rfam family "Bacterial small subunit ribosomal RNA", at positions 74 to 985 of the family's 1533-position model. The record is from RNAcentral.